CUUGGGGUUCGCAGGAGAAUCUAGCGGCCGGGAGCAAGUGGUGGCGGGCAGGGCCGGCUCCAGGCACCGGCCUACCAAGCACGUGCUUGGGGCGGCACCUUGGGAGGGGGCGACGAUCGGGGAACCGUCCCUGGUAUCUGGAUACAGAACAGGGAUGGGGCUACGACAGGUCAUGACGGCCCCUCCGAACAGAACCAGCGACGAGCCUGACGAGCGUGGGGACAGGCUGGUUAUUGCUACUAAGCAGAUAAGUGACUUCCCUCGCUUGGCAUGAAGGGAGCCCCUUAGUUUGGGUCACAGCCGAACGCCGCCAGGGAGGGGGCGGGCAGAGCCCUGGUAUAACAGAACGCACUAAGAUAGAAGGAUUUACCUGCGUCCGCACACCUUGUCCGUUCCCACAGCCACCCCACCCGCCUGCCCUGCCGCCAGUGCCACCCAGCCUGCCCCAGGCCCGUCCCCCUAACUCCUGCCCCACUGGGCCCAGCCCAGCUGCCCCUGACCCCCGCUGGGCACAGUUGUCUAGCCCACUAUGCCUCGGGCAUCCCCCUUCACGGAGACGAGACCACAGGAUUCUCCCCAGGCCCUUCCCCCCGCGAGUCCCUCUGCAUGUGGCAGUGCCCGGGCACCCUGUACCUGCUGCCAUUCCAGCUUCUUUGCCAGUCUCCUCUGUGCUGCUGGGUCGUCCACCUGCACGUGCUCCGGCACCCGCUUCACCGCUAGCAGGAGCAAGGAGAAUGGGCUGAGCUGGGGGCUAGGGCAUGACCCCAACACAGAGCCACCCAGGCUCCGGGGGAGGGGUGGGGAGAAUAAAGAGCCUGGGGACCCGGGAAGGGGGUGGGGGAUGAGGGCAAAAGCACAAUCACAGCGACCUGGGCACAGGGGAGAUGGGGCAGAACCACCCAGGUGCUGCUGAGUCAGACACAUACCCCACCCCCCCUCCACCGGCUCACCCAGAGGGCGCUGAGUCAGACACCCCCCCGCCGGCUCAUCCAGGGGGUGCUGAGUCGGACCCCCACCAGCUCACCCAGCCCCACCCAGGGGGCACUGCCCCAGGCCACCCACCGGCUCACCCAGCCCCACCCAGGGGGCACUGCCCCGGGCCACCCGCCGGCUCACCCUGCCCCACCCAGGGGGUGCUGCCCCAGGGCACCCACCGGCUCACCCAGCCCCGCCCAGAGGGCGCUGUCCCAGGCUACCCGCCGGCUCACCCAGUCCCAUCCAGGGGGUGCUGCCCUGACCCCCGCUGGCUCAUCCAGGGGGUGCUGAGUCAGACCCCCACCAGCUCACCCAGCCCCACCCAGGGCGCACUGCCCCAGGCCACCCACCAGCUCACCCAGCCCCACCCAGGGGACACUGCCCUGACCCCCGCCGGCUCACCCAGCCCCACCUAGGGGGCGCUGACCCAGGCUACCCGCCGGCUCACCCAGCCCCACCCAAGGGUGCUGCCCUGACCCCCGCCGGCUCACCCAGCCCCACCCAGGCGGUGCUGCCCCAGGCCACCCGCCGGCUCACCCAGCCCCGCCCAGAGGGCGCUGCCCCGGGCCACCCGCUGGCUCACCCAGCCCCAUCCAGGGGGCGCUGCCCUGACCCCCGCCGGCUCACCCAGCCCCACCCAGGGGGCGCUGCCCCGGGCCACCUGCCGGCUCACCCAGCCCCACCCACGGGGUGCUGCCCUGACCGCUUUGAGCCCAUAAUCCCAAGGAGGGGAGCAGCCAUGGCAUGGCAGUUCUGUCCUUACUGGACUGGGGCUCGCUGGGCUGCAGCCUGGGCUUGGCCGGCACAGCUGCUGGGGUUGACUCCACUUUCUUGGUUUGUUUCAGAGCGCAGUCGGCCUCCUGCUUGGCCCGGCACUCUGCUCGCAGCUCCGCCUUCCUCUUCCCCCCGCCGGCUUCUCGCUGCCGGCCAGGUCCUCGCUGGGCACUGGGGCCGGCAUGGGGGGCGCAGCCCCUACAAGAGGAGAGACCGGUCACCGUGCGGGAGCUUCCCACACCCCCGGGCUCCAGAGAGCACACGGCCCAUGCUCGAUGUCUUUCUAGAGGCCUUUGAGAACUCACAGAUCGGUAGCCACGUUGGAGUAAAUAUAUCAUGCAUCAGCUGUUUUUGCUCAUGUCUGAGACACAGAUCUCAAGAGGAAAAUCCGGAAAAGGACAAAAUGGAAGCAUGAACCAGCUCAGACUCCCUUAUGGCAGGGGUCAUGGUGUCCGUUUUUACAGGCAGGCGGCUGUAAAAGUUUGUGUUAAACCAGGCGAUUAAUAAAACGUAUUUAAAUAUGUCAAUAUGAAUGUGUCCCCCUUCAUAUUUGUGUUAGUAAAAGACGGUGCCAGUAACAGUCAUGUCUACACCGGCCGCUCUGUUAAAGAAAAUAUAUUACACCCCUGGGGAAGUUGGGAGCUUCGGCGGGUGACCCUUCUUUUUCAAGUGGCCAAAAAGCCUCGUAAAACGCUUACACUUUACAUAAACCGGCUCGAAUACAUUUUAAAAGAAACAAGACCAUUGGGUCAGAUGUGGAUGCGCAAUGGCAGGCAGAUUCGGUGAAGAUGCAUCGGUUCUCCAAAUGCAACAUCGGUUUUAAAUCCAUCUUAACAGUGAUAGACAUUCUAUCCAAAUCUGCCUGGGCCUUAGGCCUAAAAGACCAGACGCAUGGUGAGGUAUCCAAGGCCUUUAAAGCUAUUUUCAGCAAAGGUCGCAUGCCUCAAAAAUUACAAACCGAUCGGGGGAAAGAAUUUUUAAACAAACCUUUAAGCAGAUUGUUAAAGUGGCAUGGAGUUCACCAGUUUGUUACUAAUAAGGAAGUCAAAGCAGGGGUUGUAGAGGAUGUGGAGAUAUUUUACAGCCCAUAUCACCUUUUGCUACAUUGACGUGUUACCUGAGUUUAUAAAGAGUUACAACCAGAGUUUUCACAGAACUCUACGUACCAGACCCGCUGAUGUUAGCCCUUCAAAUUCUCUGAAGGUAUGGAAAACGGUUUACAGAGAUGGUUUUAAAAUAAAACCGGUUGUUGCCUCUUUUAGAAAAGGCGACCAUGUGAGACUAUUUAAAACCAAAAAGCUUUUCAAAAGGUUAUGAACAGAUGUUUACCGAUGAGAUAUUCCUUGGGCAUGCCUAGCCUUGCUCAACACGUGCUUCAACAAGCCCAGACGUGUAUUUUGCAAUGAUUUUCAUAGCCCUAUUACCCAAUAAAGCCCCCCAGGUGAGGGGAUUAAAGACAAUUGAUGUUUGGGGUUUGUUUUUAAAAAAUAAAAAUGACCAAUUCAGAAAAAAGGACACAGAUUAUUAUUUUUUUAAUAAAAAUAAUCGCUUGUGAGGUCCCCUAAAUAAUCCCCCAGAGGGGGAUUCCAGUCACCCUCCCUUUUCACAAAUAUCACGAGUCAGUGUCGUGGUACAGGCACCGCUCUUGCAACCUGUCUAGGAGGUUGUAUAGUUCUAAGCGGGCAUAAGCGGUGGUGAAACAGGCUAUGAAGACGUUGGUAUUGCCAGAGACAGAGUACUGGUCUUUUGCGAGCUUCCAAGACACACAUGCGGUUUCAUCAUCGAUAAACUCGCAGGAUGAAACCUCGUAACUGGGGGAAAACAGGUACUGAAACAGUUUCAGAGGGGUAGCCGUGUUAGUCUGGAUCUGUAAAAGCAGCAAAGAGUCCUGUGGCACCUGAUAGACUAACAGACGUAUUGGAGCAUGAGCUUUCGAGGGUGAAUACCCACUUCGUACCCACUUUCAGGUACUGAAAGCGUUCAUCAGGGUCUCUCACCAUGCAGCUGUUGGAUAGGUUUGUUCUUUGGCCAAAUUUACCCCACAGAGAAUUUAAAAACAGUUUAGCCAUUUGGCGUUUAGGGUUGUCAGUUGGACCGUGUGCUUGAUUGUUUGUUUGAACAGUGUGAAUUGGGAGGCUUUGUUCCAGGUGGGACUUGAGUGGGCCCGACUGCUAUAAAAAGGCAGUCAGCAGCGAACCAGCUGAGCGGCGAACAGCAGAGGCUAACAGAAGGCGUUUGCCUGGGAUCUGUCCAAGAGGAGGUCCGCUAAGUGCUGCAUUGGGGGGCUGUGUUGGUGAGUAUCUGAGGCUUUGGCUACACUUACACUUCAA
Mauremys mutica (yellowpond turtle) is the source of this 4079-nucleotide long non-coding RNA. RefSeq lists it as uncharacterized. The transcript has 3 exons. Lineage: Eukaryota; Metazoa; Chordata; Testudines; Geoemydidae. The record is from RefSeq and is a predicted model, not a curated record.